GUCUACUCAGAUGGAGAGUUGUCACAAAAGGCAUCUGCAAACCUGGAUCAAGAUUUGGCAGACCACUGCGACAAUUUACAGUGCACAGAUAUGACACACCAAAUGGUUGGAAACCCCUGCCUCUACCUCUCUGGCAAACGUCAUCUGUGACCCUGGAAGAGAACGAAGCACAGAGAGGAUGGCUCCCCGCUGCACUGCUCUCUCUCACAAGGCCUCAGUCGAUCCAUCACACAGUCCUAUUCAUUGAAAGUCUGAAGUAUGUCUCCAGUCUCUCCAUCUUACUCUAGUCAGGAGUCAGGCUCUUUGGUGGAAUGCCACCCACGAGCCCUCUCCAGCAGUGGUUGGGGGGACUGCUGCUCCCCGGCCCACAUCAGCAUCACCCACGCUGUGUUGCAACUGCUCAGCCUCCAACUAUAUCUGUAGCUGCAGUGACAUUUUUACACAAGGAAAGAUGUAUGCUGCCCAUCUGUCAU
Hyaena hyaena (striped hyena) is the source of this 473-nucleotide long non-coding RNA. RefSeq lists it as uncharacterized. NCBI's taxonomy places the organism in Eukaryota, Metazoa, Chordata, Mammalia, Carnivora, Hyaenidae. The transcript has 3 exons. The record is from RefSeq and is a predicted model, not a curated record.